ACGGGAGGCAGCAGUGGGGAAUAUUGGACAAUGGGCGAAAGCCUGAUCCAGCAAUGCCGCGUGAGUGAUGAAGGCCUUAGGGUUGUAAAGCU
Molecule: ribosomal RNA, 92 nt
Filed under: uncultured soil bacterium
Lineage: Bacteria
Description: partial 16S ribosomal RNA
Rfam family: Bacterial small subunit ribosomal RNA
Source: RNAcentral